RNAcentral lists this ribosomal RNA (484 nucleotides) under uncultured bacterium. RNAcentral's name for it is "partial 16S ribosomal RNA". It matches the Rfam family "Bacterial small subunit ribosomal RNA", at positions 28 to 523 of the family's 1533-position model. The record is from RNAcentral.
GACGAACGCUGGCGGCGUGCUUAACACAUGCAAGUCGAACGAUGAAGCCGGAGCUUGCUCUGGUGAAUUAGUGGCGAACGGGUGAGUAACACGUGAGUAACCUGCCCUUGACUCUGGGAUAACUACUAGAAAUGGUAGCUAAUACCGGAUACGACCCUCGGCGGCAUCGCCAGGGGGUGGAAAGAAUUUCGGUCAAGGAUGGACUCGCGGCCUAUCAGCUAGUUGGUGAGGUAACGGCUCACCAAGGCGACGACGGGUAGCCGGCCUGAGAGGGUGACUGGCCACCCUGGGACUGAGACACGGCCCAGACUCCUACGGGAGGCAGCAGUGGGGAAUAUUGCACAAUGGGCGCAAGCCUGAUGCAGCAACGCCGCGUGAGGGAUGACGGCCUUCGGGUUGUAAACCUCUUUUAGUAGGGAAGAAGCGAAAGUGACGGUACCUGCAGAAAAAGGACCGGCCAACUACGUGCCAGCAGCCGCGGUAA